GAUGGAAGUGACGAUGAAAAGACAGGGACAUCAGAUCAGAGUAAGAGUCCCCUUAUUAGGAGAUGGGGAUGAUGAUUUAUGUCUAAAUGGGUAUCUCUUUAAUGCGCA
Molecule: non-coding RNA, 108 nt
Organism: Brassica napus (rape)
Lineage: Eukaryota; Viridiplantae; Streptophyta; Magnoliopsida; Brassicales; Brassicaceae
Source: Rfam